This 76-nucleotide transfer RNA is filed under the name Propionispora sp. 2/2-37. Its description in RNAcentral is "tRNA-Thr". It matches the Rfam family "tRNA". Rfam says of the family: Transfer RNA (tRNA) molecules are approximately 80 nucleotides in length. Lineage: Bacteria; Bacillati; Bacillota; Negativicutes; Selenomonadales; Sporomusaceae. RNAcentral also lists the same sequence under 1 other name. The record is from RNAcentral.
GCUGGUAUAGCUCAGUUGGUAGAGCAGCUCAUUCGUAAUGAGCAGGUCGCGGGUUCGAGUCCCAUUACCAGCUCCA